GCCGAAGUGGUGGAAUUGGUAGACACGCUAUCUUGAGGGGGUAGUGGCUUAACAGUCGUGCCGGUUCAAGUCCGGCCUUCGGCACCA
RNAcentral lists this transfer RNA (87 nucleotides) under Pseudomonadota bacterium. RNAcentral's name for it is "Proteobacteria bacterium tRNA-Leu". It matches the Rfam family "tRNA". From Rfam's summary of the family: Transfer RNA (tRNA) molecules are approximately 80 nucleotides in length. The record is from RNAcentral. RNAcentral also lists the same sequence under 1 other name. Lineage: Bacteria; Pseudomonadati; Pseudomonadota.